This 452-nucleotide ribosomal RNA is filed under the name uncultured bacterium. RNAcentral describes it as "bacterial SSU rRNA". It matches the Rfam family "Bacterial small subunit ribosomal RNA", at positions 340 to 786 of the family's 1533-position model. The record is from RNAcentral.
UACGGAAGGCAGCAGGGGAGUAUUGCACAAUGGGCGAAAGCCUGAUGCAGCUAUGCCGCGUGUAUGAAGAAGGCCUUAGGGUUGUAAAGUACUUUCAUCGGGGAGGAAAAACAAAACUAAUAAUUUUAUUUCUUGACGUUACCCGAAAAAGAAGCACCGGCUAACUCCGUGCCAGCAGCCGCGGUAAUACGGAGGGUGCUAGCGUUAAUCAGAAUUACUGGGCGUAAAGAGCACGUAGGUGGUUUUUUAAGUCAGAUGUGAAAUCCCUGGGCUUAACCUAGGAACUGCAUUUUGAAACUGAAAUACUAGAGUAUCGUAGAGGGAGGUAGAAUUCUAGGUGUAGCGGUGAAAUGCGUAGAUAUCUGGAGGAAUACCUGUGGCGAAAGCGGCCUCCUAAACGAAUACUGACACUGAGGUGCGAAAGCGUGGGGAGCAAACAGGGAUUAGAUACC